GUGGGGAAUCUUGCGCAAUGGGCGAAAGCCUGACGCAGCCAUGCCGCGUGUAUGAUGAAGGUCUUAGGAUUGUAAAAUUCUUUCACCGGGGACGAUAAUGACGGUACCCAGAGAAGAAGCUCCGGCUAACUUCGUGCCAGCAGCCGCGGUAAUACGAAGGGGGCUAGCGUUGCUCGGAAUUACUGGGCGUAAAGGGCGCGUAGGCGGACAGCUUAGUCAGAGGUGAAAGCCCAGGGCUCAACCUUGGAAUUGCCUUUGAUACUGGCUGUCUUGAGUUUGGGAGAGGUGAGUGGAACUCCGAGUGUAGAGGUGAAAUUCGUAGAUAUUCGGAAGAACACCAGUGGCGAAGGCGACUCACUGGCCCAAUACUGACGCUGAGGCGCGAAAGCGUGGGGAGCAAACAGGAUUAGAAACCCGGGUAGUCC
This 425-nucleotide ribosomal RNA is filed under the name uncultured bacterium. Its description in RNAcentral is "partial 16S ribosomal RNA". It matches the Rfam family "Bacterial small subunit ribosomal RNA", at positions 354 to 796 of the family's 1533-position model. The record is from RNAcentral.